This 66-nucleotide transfer RNA is filed under the name Phallusia mammillata. RNAcentral describes it as "transfer RNA-Met (AUG)". The record is from RNAcentral. Lineage: Eukaryota; Metazoa; Chordata; Ascidiacea; Phlebobranchia; Ascidiidae.
UGGGGGGUAAACUAUUUAAGUUGGGGGGCUCAUGACCCCCAAAAGGGGCCAUGUCCCCUCCCCCAG